This 301-nucleotide ribosomal RNA is filed under the name uncultured bacterium. RNAcentral describes it as "partial 16S ribosomal RNA". It matches the Rfam family "Bacterial small subunit ribosomal RNA", at positions 509 to 807 of the family's 1533-position model. The record is from RNAcentral.
CAGCCGCCGCGGGAAUACGUAGGGUGCAAGCGUUAAUCGGAAUUACUGGGCGUAAAGCGUGCGCAGGCGGUUUUGUAAGACAGAGGUGAAAUCCCCGGGCUCAACCUGGGAACUGCCUUUGUGACUGCAAGGCUAGAGUACGGCAGAGGGGGAUGGAAUUCCGCGUGUAGCAGUGAAAUGCGUAGAUAUGCGGAGGAACACCGAUGGCGAAGGCAAUCCCCUGGGCCUGUACUGACGCUCAUGCACGAAAGCGUGGGGAGCAAACAGGAUUAGAUACCCCUGUAGUCCCUGUCUCUUAUAC